AAUGAACGUUGGCGGCGUGGAUUAGGCAUGCGAGUCGUGCGAGAAUCGUAGCAAUACGAGGACAGCGGCGCAAGGGAGAGGAAUAAGUAGAAAUCUACCCUCGGAUCGGGGAUAGCGGCGGGAAACUGCCGGUAAUACCCGAUAACGUCUUUGGACCAAAGGUGUGAUUCCGUCUGAGGAUGAGUCUACUUCCUAUUAGCUAGUUGGCGGGGUAAUGGCCCACCAAGGCAACGAUGGGUAGCAGGUGUGAGAGCAUGACCUGCCUCAUUGGGACUGAGACACUGCCCAGACACCUACGGGUGGCUGCAGUCGAGAAUCUUCGGCAAUGGACGAAAGUCUGACCGAGCGACGCCGCGUGCGGGAUGAAGGCCUUCGGGUUGUAAACCGCUGUCGGAGGGGAACAAAUGUACGGGGGUACUCCCCUGUAUUUGAGUGAACCUAGGAGGAAGGGGAGGCUAAGCUCGUG
This 466-nucleotide ribosomal RNA is filed under the name uncultured bacterium. Its description in RNAcentral is "bacterial SSU rRNA". It matches the Rfam family "Bacterial small subunit ribosomal RNA", at positions 29 to 507 of the family's 1533-position model. The record is from RNAcentral.